GGGCCUAUAGCUCAGUCGGUUAGAGCGUUCCCUGAUAAGGAAGAGGUCGCUGGUUCGAGUCCAGCUAGGCCCA
This 73-nucleotide transfer RNA is filed under the name Georgenia sp. SUBG003. RNAcentral describes it as "tRNA-Ile". It matches the Rfam family "tRNA". Rfam says of the family: Transfer RNA (tRNA) molecules are approximately 80 nucleotides in length. Their secondary structure includes four short double-helical elements and three loops (D, anti-codon, and T loops). Further hydrogen bonds mediate the characteristic L-shaped molecular structure. tRNAs have two regions of fundamental functional importance: the anti-codon, which is responsible for specific mRNA codon recognition, and the 3' end, to which the tRNAs corresponding amino acid is attached (by aminoacyl-tRNA synthetases). tRNAs cope with the degeneracy of the genetic code in two manners: having more than one tRNA (with a specific anti-codon) for a particular amino acid; and 'wobble' base-pairing, i.e. permitting non-standard base-pairing at the 3rd anti-codon position. Lineage: Bacteria; Bacillati; Actinomycetota; Actinomycetes; Allobogoriellales; Allobogoriellaceae. The record is from RNAcentral.